GUUUUAAUAGUUUAUAAAAACAUCGGUCUUGUAAACCGAAAAUAAGAGAAGCUUUUCCCCCCUUUUAAAACU
RNAcentral lists this transfer RNA (72 nucleotides) under Pseudoeoscyllina brevipennisoides. RNAcentral's name for it is "tRNA-Thr". It matches the Rfam family "tRNA". Rfam says of the family: Transfer RNA (tRNA) molecules are approximately 80 nucleotides in length. Their secondary structure includes four short double-helical elements and three loops (D, anti-codon, and T loops). The record is from RNAcentral. Lineage: Eukaryota; Metazoa; Arthropoda; Insecta; Orthoptera; Acrididae.